GGGGAAUCUUGCGCAAUGGGCGAAAGCCUGACGCAGCAACGCCGCGUGAACGAUGAAGGCCUUCGGGUCGUAAAGUUCUGUCAAGGGGGACGAAUACUGACGGUACCCCUGGAGGAAGCUCCGGCUAACUACGUGCCAGCAGCCGCGGUAAUACGUAGGGAGCAAGCGUUGUCCGGAAUUACUGGGCGUAAAGGGCGUGUAGGCGGCCGAUCAAGUCAGGUGUGAAAUUUCAGGGCUCAACCCUGAGCGUGCACUUGAAACUGGUUGGCUUGAGUGCAGAAGAGGAAAGUGGAAUUCCCAGUGUAGCGGUGAAAUGCGUAGAUAUUGGGAGGAACACCAGUGGCGAAGGCGACUUUCUGGUCUGUAACUGACGCUGAGGCGCGAAAGCUAGGGGAGCGAAC
This 401-nucleotide ribosomal RNA is filed under the name uncultured bacterium. Its description in RNAcentral is "bacterial SSU rRNA". It matches the Rfam family "Bacterial small subunit ribosomal RNA", at positions 356 to 773 of the family's 1533-position model. The record is from RNAcentral.